Molecule: ribosomal RNA, 345 nt
Filed under: uncultured bacterium
Lineage: Bacteria
Description: partial 16S ribosomal RNA
Rfam family: Bacterial small subunit ribosomal RNA
Source: RNAcentral
CCUACGGGAGGCAGCAGUGGGGAAUAUUGCACAAUGGGGGAAACCCUGAUGCAGCGACGCCGCGUGAGUGAAGAAGGAAUUCGUUAUGUAAAGCUCUAUCAGCAGGGAAGAAAAUGACGGUACCUGAGUAAGAAGCCCCGGCUAACGACGUGCCAGCAGCCGCGGUAAUACGUAGGGGGCAAGCGUUAUCCGGAUUUACUGGGUGUAAAGGGAGCGUAGACGGCAGUGCAAGUCUGGAGUGAAAGGCGGGGGCUCAACCCCCGGACUGCUCGGGAAACUGUACGGCUGGAGUGCAGGCGAGGUACGUGGACUUCCUCGUGUCGCGGUGAACUGCGUCGAUCUUAG